ACCUUCCUGGGAAGAGGCUGUAGUGUGUAAAGCUAAUAUACUAUUGUGAUUUCUGGCACUUUUUGUUUGAAACAAGGUCUUACAUAACCCAGGCUGCCUUCAAAGUUAUUAGCUGAGGCUACCCUUGAACGCCUCCUGAUCCUCCUGCUUCUUGCUCCAGUGUGCCUUUUUCUGGUAUCUUAGAAAUAAAAGCAUGGAAGUUUUUUCAGAUUAGAAGUUCUCUAUGGGGACGCCCCAGCCCAGCCGCCCUGGAUCACCAACUGGACCCCCAGAAGUGAUUACUGAAGAUACUCAGCCCCCACAAUUGGGUCAGGAGAGAGAUCCAGGGGGGACACCUGCAGGCGGUACUGAUGAACCCCCAAAGCUGACCAAGGAGGAGCCUGUUCCAGAAUUGCUAGAAGCUGAGGCCCCCGAAGCUUACCCUGUCUUUGAGCCAGUGCCAUCUGUCCCUGAGGCAGCCCAGGGUGACACAGAGGACUCGGAGGGCGCCCCCCCACUCAAGCGCAUCUGUCCAAAUGCCCCUGACCCCUGAGAAGCCGCCUGCCUCCUGUCCUGUUGCUCCAGGGGCCCCUUUGGCUUUUUAUAAAUAAAGACCCUUUUGUAA
This 604-nucleotide long non-coding RNA is filed under the name Mus musculus (house mouse). RNAcentral's name for it is "long non-coding RNA chr14:34345054-34345658". The record is from RNAcentral. Lineage: Eukaryota; Metazoa; Chordata; Mammalia; Rodentia; Muridae.